GACGAACGCUGGCGGCGUGCUUAACACAUGCCAGUCGAACGGAAAGGCCCUGCUUUUGUGGGGUGCUCGAGUGGCGAACGGGUGAGUAGCACGUGAGUAACCUGCCCUUGACUUUGGGAUAACUUCAGGAAACUGGGGCUAAUACCGGAUAGGAGCUCCUGCUGCAUGGUGGGGGUUGGAAAGUUUCGGCGGUUGGGGAUGGACUCGCGGCUUAUCAGCUUGUUGGUGGGGUAGUGGCUUACCAAGGCUUUGACGGGUAGCCGGCCUGAGAGGGUGACCGGCCACAUUGGGACUGAGAUACGGCCCAGACUCCUACGGGAGGCAGCAGUGGGGAAUAUUGCACAAUGGGCGGAAGCCUGAUGCAGCAACGCCGCGUGCGGGAUGACGGCCUUCGGGUUGUAAACCGCUUUCGCCUGUGACGAAGCGUGAGUGACGGUAAUGGGUAAAGAAGCACCGGCUAACUACGUG
RNAcentral lists this ribosomal RNA (468 nucleotides) under uncultured bacterium. RNAcentral describes it as "partial 16S ribosomal RNA". It matches the Rfam family "Bacterial small subunit ribosomal RNA", at positions 28 to 507 of the family's 1533-position model. The record is from RNAcentral.